AUAGCUUAGUGGUAGAGUGCCUGCCUAGCAUGCAUGAGGUCCUGGGUUCAAUCCCCAGU
Molecule: transfer RNA, 59 nt
Filed under: Camelus bactrianus (Bactrian camel)
Lineage: Eukaryota; Metazoa; Chordata; Mammalia; Artiodactyla; Camelidae
Also listed under: 3 other names
Rfam family: tRNA
About the family: Transfer RNA (tRNA) molecules are approximately 80 nucleotides in length. Their secondary structure includes four short double-helical elements and three loops (D, anti-codon, and T loops).
Source: Rfam by way of RNAcentral